This is a small nucleolar RNA of Medicago truncatula (barrel medic), 107 nucleotides long. It matches the Rfam family "Plant small nucleolar RNA R71". Rfam says of the family: R71 is a member of the C/D box family of snoRNAs containing the C (UGAUGA) and D (CUGA) box motifs. Multiple nearly identical copies of this snoRNA have been identified in Arabidopsis, and it is thought to function as a 2'-O-ribose methylation guide for 18S ribosomal RNA. Lineage: Eukaryota; Viridiplantae; Streptophyta; Magnoliopsida; Fabales; Fabaceae. The record is from Rfam.
AAUUUAUGACCUGGAUACCUCUUUAAUAGUAACUUGAACCUUUCCCAUGCAUCAUAAAGUACUUCACCAUCUUGUUGCUUGAAUCUGGAAAUCUCCUUCUUCAGCAC